Molecule: non-coding RNA, 745 nt
Filed under: Apteropeda ovulum
Lineage: Eukaryota; Metazoa; Arthropoda; Insecta; Coleoptera; Chrysomelidae
Source: RNAcentral
UUAAAGUUUUAUUUUGGCUUUUAGAUUAAAUUAUUUUUUUAAUUUUAUAUGUAAAUUUUACUUAAAUAAUAACGAGCAGUAUUUAGUUUUAAUUAUUUAAGAGAUUAAGAAUUAGGGAUAAUAUUUGGUAUAAACAAAAUUUGUGCCAGCAGUUGCGGUUACACAAAUUAUAUGAUUUAAUUAUUUUAAUAUUAAUUAAUUUGUUAAUAAAUUUUUAAUUUUAAAUUUAUUAAGUGAAAUUUUAAAUUUUUUAUAAAAUUUAUAUUAGUUAAUGAAUUAAGAAAUUUUCUUUUUAAACUAGGAUUAGAUACCCUAUUAUUAAAAUUGUAAUUUAUAUAUUGAAUUAGUAUUAGUUAUGGUCUUGAAAAUUAAAAAAUUUGGCAGUAUUUUAAUCUUUUCAGAGGAACCUGUUUUAUAAAUGAUAAUCCACGAUUUUAAAUACUUUUAUUUUUAAUUUAUAUAUCGUCGUUAUUUAAGUAUUUUAGAAGAAUUUUAAUAUUUAAAAUUUUUAAUUUGAAAAUAUCUCAGAUCAAGGUGUAAUUUAUAUAAAAGUAAAAAUGGGUUACAAUAAAUUUAUUUAAGGAGUGUUAUUUUUACAAUAUUAUGAAUAUGGAUUUGAAAGUAAUUUAAAUAAAUUAAUUUAAAUGAUUUAGCUCUAAAAUAUGUACAUAUUGCCCGUCGCUUUCAUAUAAAAUGAAAUAAGUCGUAACAAAGUAGAUUUACUGGAAAGUGUAUCUAGAAACAA